AGCGAACUGAUUAGAAGCUUGCUUCUAUGACGUUAGCGGCGGACGGGUGAGUAACACGUGGGCAACCUGCCUGUAAGACUGGGAUAACUUCGGGAAACCGAAGCUAAUACCGGAUAGGAUCUUCUCCUUCAUGGGAGAUGAUUGAAAGAUGGUUUCGGCUAUCACUUACAGAUGGGCCCGCGGUGCAUUAGCUAGUUGGUGAGGUAACGGCUCACCAAGGCAACGAUGCAUAGCCGACCUGAGAGGGUGAUCGGCCACACUGGGACUGAGACACGGCCCAGACUCCUACGGGAGGCAGCAGUAGGGAAUCUUCCGCAAUGGACGAAAGUCUGACGGAGCAACGCCGCGUGAGUGAUGAAGGCUUUCGGGUCGUAAAACUCUGUUGUUAGGGAAGAACAAGUACGAGAGUAACUGCUCGUACCUUGACGGUACCUAACCAGAAAGCCACGGCUAACUACGUGCCAGCAGCCGCGGUAAUACGUAGGUGGCAAGCGUUAUCCGGAAUUAUUGGGCGUAAAGCGCGCGCAGGCGGUUUCUUAAGUCUGAUGUGAAAGCCCACGGCUCAACCGUGGAGGGUCAUUGGAAACUGGGGAACUUGAGUGCAGAAGAGAAAAGCGGAAUUCCACGUGUAGCGGUGAAAUGCGUAGAGAUGUGGAGGAACACCAGUGGCGAAGGCGGCUUUUUGGUCU
This 689-nucleotide ribosomal RNA is filed under the name Bacillus sp. FJAT-4619. RNAcentral's name for it is "bacterial SSU rRNA". It matches the Rfam family "Bacterial small subunit ribosomal RNA", at positions 65 to 735 of the family's 1533-position model. The record is from RNAcentral. Lineage: Bacteria; Bacillati; Bacillota; Bacilli; Caryophanales; Bacillaceae.